This 264-nucleotide unclassified non-coding RNA is filed under the name Glomeraceae sp. Its description in RNAcentral is "partial contains 5.8S ribosomal RNA and internal transcribed spacer 2". The stretch from base 1 to 71 matches the Rfam family "5.8S ribosomal RNA", at positions 84 to 154 of the family's 154-position model. Lineage: Eukaryota; Fungi; Glomeromycota; Glomeromycetes; Glomerales; Glomeraceae. The record is from RNAcentral.
GUGAAUCAUCGAAUUUUUGAACGCAAAUUGCACUUUCUGGUAUCCCGGGAAGCAUGCCUGUUUGAGGGUCAGUUUUACUCAAAAACCGGUCUUGUUACAAAUUGUGACGUUUCCGCAGCUUGGGCUAUCUUAACAUUUUUGGUUAAGAGGUUUAAAAUUGACCUCUUUUGCGCAUUUUUAAACGUAUAUAACUCUUUUUUUAUUCGUCUAUUCUUAAUGCCAAAAUCUUAUUAGAUGCGAUCACAUCGUGUGGCUUCGUGUCCA